Molecule: transfer RNA, 105 nt
Filed under: Ampelomyces quisqualis
Lineage: Eukaryota; Fungi; Ascomycota; Dothideomycetes; Pleosporales; Phaeosphaeriaceae
Rfam family: tRNA
About the family: Transfer RNA (tRNA) molecules are approximately 80 nucleotides in length.
Source: Rfam by way of RNAcentral
GGCACUUUGGCGGAGUGGUUAACGCGUUGGCCUGCUACCAAUGCUCAGUCGAGCGGAGGUGAGCCAAUUCCUUCGGGAGCGUGUGUUCGAAUCACACAGGUGUCG